GAUGAACGCUGGCGGCGUGCCUAAUACAUGCAAGUCGAGCGAACAGACGAGGAGCUUGCUCCUCUGACGUUAGCGGCGGACGGGUGAGUAACACGUGGAUAACCUACCUAUAAGACUGGGAUAACUUCGGGAAACCGGAGCUAAUACCGGAUAAUAUAUUGAACCGCAUGAUUCAAUAGUGAAUGACGGUUUUGCUGUCACUUAUAGAUGGAUCCGCGCCGCAUUAGCUAGUUGGUAAGGUAACGGCUUACCAAGGCGACGAUGCGUAGCCGACCUGAGAGGGUGAUCGGCCACACUGGAACUGAGACACGGUCCAGACUCCUACGGGAGGCAGCAGUAGGGAAUCUUCCGCAAUGGGCGAAAGCCUGACGGAGCAACGCCGCGUGAGUGAUGAAGGUCUUCGGAUCGUAAAACUCUGUUAUUAGGGAAGAACAAAUGUGUAAGUAACUAUGCACGUCUUGACGGUACCUAAUCAGAAAGCCACGGCUAACUACGUG
RNAcentral lists this ribosomal RNA (497 nucleotides) under uncultured bacterium. RNAcentral describes it as "partial 16S ribosomal RNA". It matches the Rfam family "Bacterial small subunit ribosomal RNA", at positions 28 to 507 of the family's 1533-position model. The record is from RNAcentral.